GAUGAACGCUAGCGGCAGGCCUAACACAUGCAAGUCGAGGGAGAAGCCUUUCGGGGCAGAAACCGGCGCACGGGUGCGUAACGCGUAUGCAACCUACCUUUCACAGGGGGAUAGCCCGAAGAAAUUUGGAUUAAUACCCCAUAAUAUUGUUGGAUGGCAUCAUCUGGCAAUUAAAACUGAGGUGGUGAAAGAUGGGCAUGCGUCCUAUUAGCUAGUUGGAGUGGUAACGGCACCCCAAGGCUACGAUAGGUAGGGGUCCUGAGAGGGAGAUCCCCCACACUGGUACUGAGACAGGGACCAGACUCCUACGGGAGGCAGCAGUGAGGAAUAUUGGUCAAUGGUCGGAAGACUGAACCAGCCAUGCCGCGUGCAGGAAGAAUGCCUUAUGGGUUGUAAACUGCUUUUAUAUGGGAAGAAUAAGGUGUACGUGUACAUNGANGACGGUACCA
This 449-nucleotide ribosomal RNA is filed under the name uncultured bacterium. Its description in RNAcentral is "bacterial SSU rRNA". It matches the Rfam family "Bacterial small subunit ribosomal RNA", at positions 28 to 480 of the family's 1533-position model. The record is from RNAcentral.